Molecule: ribosomal RNA, 337 nt
Filed under: Vibrio parahaemolyticus
Lineage: Bacteria; Pseudomonadati; Pseudomonadota; Gammaproteobacteria; Vibrionales; Vibrionaceae
Description: bacterial LSU rRNA
Rfam family: Bacterial large subunit ribosomal RNA
Source: RNAcentral
GAAAUUGAAAUCGCUGUGAAGAUGCAGUGUACCCGCGGCUAGACGGAAAGACCCCGUGAACCUUUACUACAGCUUGGCACUGAACAUUGACCCUACAUGUGUAGGAUAGGUGGGAGGCUUUGAAGCACGUACGCCAGUAUGUGUGGAGCCGUCCUUGAAAUACCACCCUUGUAGUGUUGAUGUUCUAACGUCGACCCCUUAUCGGGGUUACGGACAGUGCCUGGUGGGUAGUUUGACUGGGGCGGUCUCCUCCCAAAGAGUAACGGAGGAGCACGAAGGUGGGCUAAUCACGGUUGGACAUCGUGAGGUUAGUGCAAUGGCAUAAGCCCGCUUGACU